This 2006-nucleotide long non-coding RNA is filed under the name Olea europaea subsp. europaea. The record is from RNAcentral. Lineage: Eukaryota; Viridiplantae; Streptophyta; Magnoliopsida; Lamiales; Oleaceae.
CUUGGAGUAGUUGAUAUUGUUGAUCACAUGUCAUUGUAUUGUGAUAAUAAUAGAAUCAUUGCGAAAGCAAAGGAACUAAGGUCUCAUCAAUGAUCCAAACAUGUAUUAAGGCGGUAUAAUCUCAUCAGAGAGAUAAUACAUAGAAAUGACGUAAAGUAAAGAAAAGAACAAAUUUCCACAUUUAACAAUAUUGCAGAUCCACGGACAAAGAGUUGUCAUAACAUAAACAUAAUCGUCAUGUAGACUUAUGAUAUUGAAUACAUAAGUGAUUGGAUCUAGUGCAAGUGGGAGUUUGUAAGUAUUAUGCCCUAGGUCCAAUCAACUUUGGGCAUAAAUGCUUUUGAUAUAUAUAUAUAAUUAAUUCAAUUUAUGGCAUAUCUAUUAUUUAAUUAAUAGACAAUUAAAUAAAUAAUAGAGUCCGAAGAUUCAAACCUCCGUAAUUUGUUAAUCACAAGGAGUUGUGAUUGUGAGAUACAAAUUGCAUCUGAUUGAAUCUUAAAUCAUCCAUGGUCGUAAGUAAUAACGAGAUACGGAUAUCAUUAUUACGGAUAGACCAUCACGUGUGGCAUUUCUUACUUGUGAAGUAAGUAGCUGAUCUCACAAGUUAAAAUGUGGUGACACUUAAAUGAACACGUGGAUGUUUUGUUAUAAAACAAAAUAUUGGAGACCCAUCGAGAGAUUCCACACGGAUAACUAUCUGAGUGUCAGUGGUUAAUCUCUAGCGUUCGGUAGUGGAAUUGGUCCUUUGACUUGAGGUCGUCGUGGUACCUUAUAUGAGGAGAGUCAUACUUUGGCGAUGUUGGAUGUUGCUCUAAAAAGGGCCGCUAAUAAGACAUCGUUCGGGUACGUCAAGAGUCGUAUGAAGGUUGUGAUUGAUCAAUAAAGGAUUCGUCACUCUUAGAUAGUAGGAGAUUAUGAUCUGCGUUUCAUUCAAUUAAGUCGAUGAUGAAAUCCUUGGCCAAGGUGUACUCAUAAGUCGAAAAUGAGUUUUCGACUUAUAUUGACUUAAUAGUGGAGUGAAAGAUAUGAUCGAUGAUCGAGAUUGACACAAUUCCAUAUCUCGUAAUUGAUCGGAUCAUAUUGACGAAAUGAUUAUAGUUUCACGGUAAACGAACGAAUUUGGUUUUGUCAUACCACGUGACAUUUCCCGUCACAUUUAUUGCCCUGACACAUUGCUAGAUGUCAAUCAGGGACAGCGAGUGUAAAUUGACGAUAAAUUAAAAGGGUAUUUUAAUUUAUCAAUUUUGAUUAGAUCAAAAUAAUAUUUCACGUCGUUAGGUAUCGUGGUCGGGAACCUAAUGGGUCGCACACAAAAGAGAAUUGGAAGAUUGCAAAUUGCCAAUUGGUUAAUUUAACAAUCGUUGGAUAAAUUAAUUAAUUGAAUUUGUUAUUUAUAUUCCCGAAUUAAUUAAUUGAAUUAAUUAAUUCACGGGCCGAGUUUAAUUAAUUGGAUUAAUUAAAUAUUGGACCGGACCGGGCCAAGCCCGUUUGGGUUUAUAUAAAUACAUGGCUAGGGUUUGAGGUCCAUAUGAUUUUCAUUAUUCUUACUGGCACAAGAGAGAAAACCCUAGUAGCUGCAAUCUUGUUCUCUGUGUGGAUUACCGUUGGAGGCUGAACAAUUGUACAGUUGUGGAUGGUGAAUCAGGAUUGCUGGAACGAAAAGAAUAGCAAAGAAGUUUGCAGAUCUGAAAAGGUACAAUCUUAUCACAAUUUCUAUCUAAACACAAAGGUGAUUCUUGGUGGGAAUCGAAAAUUAUUUUAAAUUCCGCUAUGCAUGUAUAAGUAGAUUCCCAACAAAAGGUGCAUUUGGUAAUGACUGUGUGUCUGACCUAUCGUUCUGUGAUCACUGUGUGCUCGGAAAGUACCAUAGAGUGUCGUUCUCCACUAGUACGCAUAAGGCUAAAAGCAUGCUUGAAUAUGUGCAUUCUGAUCUGUGGGGUCCUGUUAGUAAUCUCACAUCGGGUGGGAAUAGGUAUUUCCUAUCUAUCAUAGAUGACUACACCAGG